UACAGAGGGUGCGAGCGUUUAAUCGGAAUUACUGGGCGUAAAGGGCGCGUAGGUGGUUAUGUAAGUGAGAUGUGAAAUCCCUGGGCUUAACCUAGGAACUGCAUCUUAUACUGCGUAGCUGGAGUGCGGUAGAGGGUAGUGGAAUUUCCGGUGUAGCGGUGAAAUGCGUAGAUAUCGGAAGGAACACCAGUGGCGAAGGCGGCUACCUGGACUGACACUGACACUGAGGCGCGAAAGCGUGGGGAGCAAACAGG
Molecule: ribosomal RNA, 254 nt
Filed under: uncultured bacterium
Lineage: Bacteria
Description: partial 16S ribosomal RNA
Rfam family: Bacterial small subunit ribosomal RNA
Source: RNAcentral